This 775-nucleotide ribosomal RNA is filed under the name uncultured Neocallimastigales. RNAcentral describes it as "partial large subunit ribosomal RNA". It matches the Rfam family "Eukaryotic large subunit ribosomal RNA", at positions 25 to 649 of the family's 3401-position model. The record is from RNAcentral. Lineage: Eukaryota; Fungi; Neocallimastigomycota; Neocallimastigomycetes; Neocallimastigales.
ACACUGACGUCGCGAUGCAUAUCAAUAAGCGGAGGAAAAGAGACUAACAAGGAUUCCCCUAGUAACGGCGAGUGAAGCGGGAAGAGCUCAAAUUUGAAAUCUUAAAGGGUUUCCCUUUACGAAUUGUAGUUUAAAGAAGUGUUUUCUGUUGAGGUUUUGGUAAAAGUUCUUUGGAAUAGGACAUCAUAGAGGGUGAGAAUCCCGUAUUUGACCGUUACUUUCAGCUGUGUGAUACACUUUCAAAGAGUCGGAUUGUUUGGGAAUGCAGUCCAAAAUGGGUGGUAAAUUUCAUCUAAAGCUAAAUAUUGGCGAGAGACCGAUAGCGAACAAGUACCGUGAGGGAAAGACUGGAAAGAACUUUGAAAAGAGAGUUAAACAGUACGUGAAAUUGUCAAAAGGGAAGCGUUUGACACCAGUGUUGUUUUUCUGAAAAUCAAUUAAAGAACUGUUUAUGCUAAGUUGUUUAGACUUUAUCAGCUAACUGUUUAGUUUUGAGCUUUUCUUUAAUGCACUUUUCAGUUAACAAGUCAACAUCAAUUUCUUUUGCUGUAAAAAAGCUUGAGGAAGGUGGCUUGAGAUUCGUCUUAAGUGUUUAUAGCCUCUUGCCUAUGCAGUCGGAGAGAUUGAGAUCUGCAGCGUAGAUCCUUCGGGGCUAAAUGCAUUUGUGCUAAGUUAUAGCGUUUUAUAGACAACUUGUUGACUAUGAUUUGUCUUGUAGCUUACUCGCUUAUGUUAUUUUACCUACGCUUAGGAUGUUGAGUAGCGACAUACGCAC